This 76-nucleotide transfer RNA is filed under the name Candidatus Poribacteria bacterium. Its description in RNAcentral is "tRNA-Arg". It matches the Rfam family "tRNA". From Rfam's summary of the family: Transfer RNA (tRNA) molecules are approximately 80 nucleotides in length. Their secondary structure includes four short double-helical elements and three loops (D, anti-codon, and T loops). The record is from RNAcentral. Lineage: Bacteria; Candidatus Poribacteria.
GCGCCCGUAGCUCAGCGGAUAGAGCGUCAGACUCCGGAUCUGAAGGCCGUGGGUUCGAGUCCCCCCGGGCGCGCCA